ACCAGUGGGGAAGGGUCUCUUUUUCUGGACAUCCAUCCUUUGGAGUUUUGUAGGGAGCCCUGAACAGGGAAAUAUAACUGUUAAGUGAGAAGAUGGAAAAUUCAUUGUGCUCUGCAGAGAAGAAAGACAAUUUUCUUUGUAUGAAUGGCAGAACAGCCCAGCCCCAUGGAAAGAUUUGUAGGACUAAUGGCAGAAGUGAGAGGAAGCACCAUCAAUUUCUAUCAAACGCUAUAAGU
Long non-coding RNA from Tympanuchus pallidicinctus (lesser prairie-chicken), 236 nucleotides. RefSeq lists it as uncharacterized. The record is from RefSeq and is a predicted model, not a curated record. The transcript has 3 exons. NCBI's taxonomy places the organism in Eukaryota, Metazoa, Chordata, Aves, Galliformes, Phasianidae.